RNAcentral lists this unclassified non-coding RNA (878 nucleotides) under Hevea brasiliensis (rubber tree). The record is from RNAcentral. Lineage: Eukaryota; Viridiplantae; Streptophyta; Magnoliopsida; Malpighiales; Euphorbiaceae.
AAAGGGAGAGACCCCAAAAUCACGGUAUGGGAUGUUCUUUGCCUAGUUUUUUUUAUGAGAAGUUCUUAGUAGAACACCCAAAAAAGUGGUUUUCUCAUCAUUUCUAAAGAUUAAGAAGUUUGGUUGUUGGGGCCAUGGAACUAAUUGCCAAUGUUCUACAUGAACCGUAGGUAGAGAUUCAAAACAGUGAAUUAUCAACUAAUGGAUAACUUCAAGUUAGAAGUUGCAAAACAGGGCCUUGAUAGAGUGGAUAAUGAAAAUGCAUUAUGAUCUCUCAUUGUGAUAAAAGAAAAUGAAUCCCUAAUGAAAUUUCUAUGCUUGUUAGGCAUUCUUAAAUUUGUCACCAUGCAACCAACCACCAGUCUAUUACCAUGGCACCAUCUCAUUGAUUCGUUAUAAUACUGCCACCAUUGUUGUUGAUACUGUUGGCCUCCCUGAAACCCUACAUUCAUCAUAUCUGUAACUUGUGCCAUUGAUGCUGUUACCAUUUCACUAAUUCUGACUACCUUCAAACAAUAACAAUUACAAUUGGCACCUUGUCACUGUCAGCACCCUAAUAGCACCAUCGCAAUACUCACUCCAGCAUCCUAAUGUCACUAUCGAAUUGUUUCCAUCAAGUUAUUAUUGUUAUGUUGACGCUGCUGUCUACCCAGUAUAGUAGCUACAUCUUCUAAUGUUCCCAAAGGACAGUAACAACCAAGCACAUUGUAAAACAUGAUCAAGUCAACAAAAAACUGUUAAAUGAUAUGCUUAGGUCAAAUAAUAAAUAAUGAUUACAAAGUGUUUUAAGCUUCCUUAACAUUUUUUUUUUGCUGUUGUAGCCUGUUUAACAAUUUGAUGUAUCCUUUUCUGCAGACAUAGGACAAACUUAGAGGAUG